UACGUAGGGUGCGAGCGUUAAUCGGAAUUACUGGGCGUAAAGAGUGCGUAGGCGGAUAUACAAGUUAGAUGUGAAAUACCUGGGCUUAACCUAGGAGGUGCAUUUAAGACUGUAUGUCUAGAGUUUGUCAGAGGGGGGUAGAAUUCCAAGUGUAGCAGUGAAAUGCGUAGAGAUUUGGAGGAAUACCGAUGGCGUAGGCAGCCCCCUGGGAUAAAACUGACGCUGAGGCACGAAAGCGUGGGUAGCAAACAGG
RNAcentral lists this ribosomal RNA (253 nucleotides) under uncultured bacterium. RNAcentral's name for it is "partial 16S ribosomal RNA". It matches the Rfam family "Bacterial small subunit ribosomal RNA", at positions 524 to 776 of the family's 1533-position model. The record is from RNAcentral.